UUUCCGUAGGUGAACCUGCGGAAGGAUCAUUACCAAGAGUUAUCGUGGGGGCUUGUCCUCACGAAACCUCCACCCCGUGCUUGGUUGACCCGCCUUUGUCGUUGCCUCGGCGGGGGGUUGCGCAGCAGCGCUUUCCCCCGCCGGCAGACAGCCAUUAAAACCCUAGUGUUAAACGAUGUAGUCGGAGCCCUUCGUGGCGAAAUAAAAAUUAACAAGUCAAAACUUUCAACAACGGAUCUCUUGGUUCUG
This 249-nucleotide unclassified non-coding RNA is filed under the name root metagenome. Its description in RNAcentral is "partial contains small subunit ribosomal RNA, internal transcribed spacer 1, and 5.8S ribosomal RNA". The record is from RNAcentral.